GGGAGUGUGCCCGAGUGGACAAAGGGAUCAGACUGUAAAUCUGACGGCAAUGCCUACGGUGGUUCGAAUCCACCCGCUCCCA
RNAcentral lists this transfer RNA (82 nucleotides) under Candidatus Aerophobetes bacterium ADurb.Bin490. Its description in RNAcentral is "tRNA-Tyr". It matches the Rfam family "tRNA". From Rfam's summary of the family: Transfer RNA (tRNA) molecules are approximately 80 nucleotides in length. Their secondary structure includes four short double-helical elements and three loops (D, anti-codon, and T loops). Further hydrogen bonds mediate the characteristic L-shaped molecular structure. tRNAs have two regions of fundamental functional importance: the anti-codon, which is responsible for specific mRNA codon recognition, and the 3' end, to which the tRNAs corresponding amino acid is attached (by aminoacyl-tRNA synthetases). tRNAs cope with the degeneracy of the genetic code in two manners: having more than one tRNA (with a specific anti-codon) for a particular amino acid; and 'wobble' base-pairing, i.e. permitting non-standard base-pairing at the 3rd anti-codon position. Lineage: Bacteria; Candidatus Aerophobota. The record is from RNAcentral.